GACGAACGCUGGCGGCGUGCUUAACACAUGCAAGUCGAAGGGAAAGGCCCUGCUUUUGUGGGGUGCUCGAGUGGCGAACGGGUGAGUAACACGUGAGUAACCUGCCCUUGACUUUGGGAUAGCUUCAGGAAACUGGGGCUAAUACCGGAUAGGAGCUCCUGCUGCAUGGUGGGGGUUGGAAAGUUUCGGCGGUUGGGGAUGGACUCGCGGCUUAUCAGCUUGUUGGUGGGGUAGUGGCUUACCAAGGCUUUGACGGGUAGCCGGCCUGAGAGGGUGACCGGCCACAUUGGGACUGAGAUACGGCCCAGACUCCUACGGGAGGCAGCAGUGGGGAAUAUUGCACAAUGGGCGGAAGCCUGAUGCAGCAACGCCGCGUGCGGGAUGAUGGCCUUCGGGUUGUAAACCGCUUUCGCCUGUGACGAAGCGUGAGUGACGGUAAUGGGUAAAGAAGCACCGGCUAACUACGUG
This 468-nucleotide ribosomal RNA is filed under the name uncultured bacterium. RNAcentral's name for it is "partial 16S ribosomal RNA". It matches the Rfam family "Bacterial small subunit ribosomal RNA", at positions 28 to 507 of the family's 1533-position model. The record is from RNAcentral.